This 144-nucleotide ribosomal RNA is filed under the name uncultured eukaryote. Its description in RNAcentral is "partial 18S ribosomal RNA". It matches the Rfam family "Eukaryotic small subunit ribosomal RNA", at positions 1299 to 1458 of the family's 1831-position model. The record is from RNAcentral.
UGGUGGAGUGAUUUGUCUGCUUAAUUGCGUUAACGAACGAGACCUCGACCUGCUAAAUAGUUGGCAGUAUUCCAUUUGGGAUACGAGCUCAACUUCUUAGAGGGACUAUCGGUUCUUAGCCGAUGGAAGUUCGAGGCAAUAACA